UACGGAGGGUGCGAGCGUUGUCCGGAAUCACUGGGCGUAAAGGGCGCGUAGGCGGCGCGGAAAGUCGUCGGUGAAAGCUCGGGGCUCAACCCUGAGUCUGCCGGUGAUACUCCCGCGCUCGAGCUCACUAGAGGCAGAUGGAAUUCCGGGUGUAGCGGUGGAAUGCGCAGAGAUCCGGAAGAACACCGGUGGCGAAGGCGGUCUGCUGGGGUGAGGCUGACGCUGAUGCGCGACAGCGUGGGGAGCAAACAGG
Molecule: ribosomal RNA, 253 nt
Filed under: uncultured bacterium
Lineage: Bacteria
Description: partial 16S ribosomal RNA
Rfam family: Bacterial small subunit ribosomal RNA
Source: RNAcentral